UACGAAGGUGGCAAGCGUUACUCGGAAUUACUAGGCGUAAAGCGCAGGUAGGUGGUUAGGUAAGUCUGUAAUGAAAUCUCCCGGCUUAACUGGGAGGGGUUUAUAGAUACUGCUUGACUUGAGUGUGGGAGAGGUAACUGGAAUUCCAGGUGUAGCGGUGAAAUGCGUAGAUAUCUGGAGGAACACCAAUGGCGAAAGCAGGUUACUGGCCCAAUACUGACACUGAGCUGCGAAAGCUAGGGGAGCAAACAGG
This 253-nucleotide ribosomal RNA is filed under the name uncultured bacterium. Its description in RNAcentral is "partial 16S ribosomal RNA". It matches the Rfam family "Bacterial small subunit ribosomal RNA", at positions 524 to 776 of the family's 1533-position model. The record is from RNAcentral.